GCCGGGCACGGUGGCGCACACCUGUGAUCCCAGCAGCUCUGGAGGCUGAGGCAGGAGGAUCGCAAGGUGGAGGCCAGCCUCAGCAACUGAGCAAGGCCCUAAGCAACUUGGUGAGACCCUGUCUCUA
This 127-nucleotide small RNA is filed under the name Marmota monax (woodchuck). Lineage: Eukaryota; Metazoa; Chordata; Mammalia; Rodentia; Sciuridae. The record is from RNAcentral.